AGCACUUUGGGAGGCCAAGGUGGACGGAUCUCCUGAGGUCAGGAGUUCAAGACCAGCCUGACCAAUAUGGUGAAACCCCAUCUCUACAAAAAUACAAAAAUUAGUAGGGCAUGGUGGCAAGUGCCUGUAGUCCCAGCUACUCGGGAGGCUGAGACAGGAGAAUUGCUUGGACCCAGGAGGCGACGGUUGCAGUGAACUGAGAUCCUGCCACUGCACUCCAUCCUGGGUGACAGAGCGAGACUCCAUCUCAAAAAAAAAAAAAAAUUACCUCUUCCAUGUAGUACUAUCUGUAUUAAAUAAUAUUAGCUGGUAUGUUUUUCUGGCUGUAUAAUGUGGUUCAGAUUUCUGUAGAAAUUCCGGCUGUAUCUACAUUGCCUUAAAGUAAUGGGAUAUUUCUUUUGUUUUUUUCAGCUGGAGUUUUGCUCUUGUCGCCCAUGCUGGAGUGUGAUCGUGGCUCACUGCAAUCUCUGCCUCCCAGGUUCAAGCGAUUCUCCUAGCUCAGCCUCCUGAGCAGCUGGGAUGACAGGCACUUGCCACAACGCCUGGCUAAUUUUUCUAUGUUUAGUAGAGAUGGGGUUUCACCAUGUUGGCCAGGCUGGUCUUGAACUCCUGACUUCGUGAUCUGUCUGCCUCAGCCUUCCAAAGUGUUGGGAUUACAGGCGUGAGCCACCAUGGCCAGCCUUUCUUUUCUUUUCAAAGCCACCGUUGGUGAUGAAAUGUAAAAUAUGCACCAGUGAAUAUUACUUUGCUGAAUAUUGCCUAGUGAAUAUUAAGUAUUUAUUCUCACCUUUCAGACAUGAACUUAUGAAUUCAACACAUGAAGACUUACAACUUGAUAAACCAGCUUCAGGAGUAACUCCAGUUAGCCUCCAUUGUCUCCAAGCCGGCUUUCGUCCUCAUCCACAAUGCCUCCACACAAGCGCUGAACACCUGUCCAUGUAAAAAUAUCAAGAAAUGCUGAGGCCCAUGUCCCAGAACAACAGUCCUUUAGGUGGAUCACACAUUCUCCACUACACCAAGCUCUGCUCAGUAAGUUUUGCUUCUUUGCACUUACCUGCCCAGCCCCUGUUGGUGACCCGGUUUGCAACAUUUGCUCUGCGUGAUCCAGUGGAGCAGAGAACUAGAGUUUGAAACUAAAUCCUCAUUUACAUAUACAAUUUCCUUGUGCACCUAAAAGGAUAAUAGAUGGCUAGU
Molecule: long non-coding RNA, 1194 nt
Filed under: Pan troglodytes (chimpanzee)
Lineage: Eukaryota; Metazoa; Chordata; Mammalia; Primates; Hominidae
Description: lncRNA (ENSPTRG00000054068.1)
Source: RNAcentral